GGGCUACGGUGGUCCUCAGCAAAGCUAUGGCUCUCCAGGACAAGGAACUCAAGCUCCUCCUCCACCAUAUCAGGGAGGUUACAACCAAGGCAGGACUGGACCUCCACCACCUCCAUAUCAGGGGGGUUACAAUCAAGGUCAGGGAUCUCCAGUACCUCCAUACCAAGGGCCACCAGGCGGAUACAGUCAAGGCGGAUCUGGGAACUAUAACCAAGGGCCACCAGGAGGUUACAGCCAAGGAGGGCCUAGGAAUU
RNAcentral lists this long non-coding RNA (254 nucleotides) under Eutrema salsugineum. RNAcentral describes it as "long non-coding RNA (ESAL_LNC002110)". Lineage: Eukaryota; Viridiplantae; Streptophyta; Magnoliopsida; Brassicales; Brassicaceae. The record is from RNAcentral.